RNAcentral lists this ribosomal RNA (497 nucleotides) under uncultured bacterium. RNAcentral's name for it is "partial 16S ribosomal RNA". It matches the Rfam family "Bacterial small subunit ribosomal RNA", at positions 28 to 507 of the family's 1533-position model. The record is from RNAcentral.
GAUGAACGCUGGCGGCGUGCCUAAUACAUGCAAGUCGAGCGAACGGACGAGAAGCUUGCUUCUCUGAUGUUAGCGGCGGACGGGCGAGUAACACGUGGAUAACCUACUUAUAAGACUGGGAGAACUUCGGGAAACCGGAGCUAAUACCGGAUAAUAUUUUGAACGGCAUGGUUCAAAAGUGAAAGACGGUCUUGCUGUCACUUAUAGAUGGAUCCGCGCUGCAUUAGCUAGUUGGUAAGGUAACGGCUUACCAAGGCAACGAUGCAUAGCCGACCUGAGGGGGUGAUCGGCCACACUGGAACUGAGACACGGUCCAGACUCCUACGGGAGGCAGCAGUAGGGAAUCUUCCGCAAUGGGCGAAAGCCUGACGGAGCAACGCCGCGUGAGUGAUGAAGGUCUUCGGAUCGUAAAACUCUGUUAUUAGGGAAGAACAUAUGUGUAAGUAACUGUGCACAUCUUGACGGUACCUAAUCAGAAAGCCACGGCUAACUACGUG